Molecule: long non-coding RNA, 272 nt
Filed under: Brassica napus (rape)
Lineage: Eukaryota; Viridiplantae; Streptophyta; Magnoliopsida; Brassicales; Brassicaceae
Description: long non-coding RNA (BNAP_LNC005718)
Source: RNAcentral
GAGGAUUAAGUAACUAGAUGAAGAACAUGAGAGAUGGAGAGAGAGAGAGAGAGAGAUUCGGAAAUGAGAGAGAGUGAAGGAGGAAAGAGUUUCCUUGAUUAAUUAACUUGCUGGAAACAUUACAUAAAUAGGCAAAGACAAAUAUCCUAGGAAAAUAUUAAACUAGUAAUAAACCUAGUAUAAGACUAAACAAUUGUAGAUGAGUCCAAACUGUCCAAACUGUCUUGGAUCAGUGAGAAAGUGACAUGUCCUAACGUUCCCAUAGGCAAUUG